RNAcentral lists this ribosomal RNA (406 nucleotides) under uncultured bacterium. RNAcentral describes it as "partial 16S ribosomal RNA". It matches the Rfam family "Bacterial small subunit ribosomal RNA", at positions 30 to 526 of the family's 1533-position model. The record is from RNAcentral.
AUUGAACGCUGGCGGCAGGCUUAACACAUGCAAGUCGAACGAGUGGCGGACGGGUGAGUAAUGUCUGGGAAACUGCCUGAUGGAGGGGGAUAACUACUGGAAACGGUAGCUAAUACCGCAUACCAUCGGAUGUGCCCAGAUGGGAUUAGCUAGUUGGUGGGGUAACGUCUCACCUAGGCGCCGAUCCCUAGCUGGUCUGAGAGUCUGACCAGCCACACGGGAAGUGAGACACGGUCCAGAGUCCGACGGGAGGCAGCAGUGGGGAAUAUUGCGCAAGGGGCGCAAGCCUGAUACAGCCAUGCCGCGUGUAUGAAGAAGGCCUUCGGGUUGUAAAGUACUUUCAGCGGGGAGGCGUUACCCGCAGAAGAAGCACCGGCUAACUCCGUGCCAGCCGCCGCGGUAAUUC